AGAGUUUGAUCCUGGCUCAGGACGAACGCUGGCGGCGUGCCUAAUACAUGCAAGUCGAACGAAGCUUUCUUUCACCGAAUGCUUGCAUUCACCGAAAGAAGCUUAGUGGCGAACGGGUGAGUAACACGUAGGCAACCUGCCCAAAAGAGGGGGAUAACACUUGGAAACAGGUGCUAAUACCGCAUAACCAUGAACACCGCAUGAUGUUCAUGUAAAAGACGGCUUUUGCUGUCACUUUUGGAUGGGCCUGCGGCGUAUUAACUUGUUGGUGGGGUAACGGCCUACCAAGGUGAUGAUACGUAGCCGAACUGAGAGGUUGAUCGGCCACAUUGGGACUGAGACACGGCCCAAACUCCUACGGGAGGCAGCAGUAGGGAAUCUUCCACAAUGGACGAAAGUCUGAUGGAGCAACGCCGCGUGAAUGAAGAAGGCCUUCGGGUCGUAAAAUUCUGUUGUCAGAGAAGAACGUGCGUGAGAGUAACUGUUCACGUAUUGACGGUAUCUGACCAGAAAGCCACGGCUAACUACGUGCCAGCAGCCGCGGUAAUACGUAGGUGGCGAGCGUUGUCCGGAUUUAUUGGGCGUAAAGGGAACGCAGGCGGUCUUUUAAGUCUGAUGUGAAAGCCUUCGGCUUAACCGAAGUAGUGCAUUGGAAACUGGAAGACUUGAGUGCAGAAGAGGAGAGUGGAACUCCAUGUGUAGCGGUGAAAUGCGUAGAUAUAUGGAAGAACACCAGUGGCGAAAGCGGCUCUCUGGUCUGUAACUGACGCUGAGGUUCGAAAGCGUGGGUAGCAAACAGGAUUAGAUACCCUGGUAGUCCACGCCGUAAACGAUGAGUGCUAAGUGUUGGAGGGUUUCCGCCCUUCAGUGCUGCAGCUAACGCAUUAAGCACUCCGCCUGGGGAGUACGGUCGCAAGACUGAAACUCAAAGGAAUUGACGGGGGCCCGCACAAGCGGUGGAGCAUGUGGUUUAAUUCGAAGCAACGCGAAGAACCUUACCAGGUCUUGACAUCUUCUGACAAUUCCAGAGAUGGAACGUUCCCUUCGGGGACAG
This 1054-nucleotide ribosomal RNA is filed under the name human gut metagenome. RNAcentral's name for it is "bacterial SSU rRNA". It matches the Rfam family "Bacterial small subunit ribosomal RNA", at positions 8 to 1029 of the family's 1533-position model. The record is from RNAcentral.